GAUAUUUUGGACGUAGCGCUGCCAUAACAAAUACAUUGUUGCCAUAGUGACCGUGUGUUUCUCACAGCCCCAGGAAAACACAACAGUGCGUUACGUGAAAGAAGCAGGACCUCCUAAGUGUUGCUUAAGACUGUAUCAGCAGUGGGAUUUCUUUUUUGUUUUCUUGGUUUAUUUUAGUUCCAUUCUGGCAAGAAUUGGGUUUUCAAGAUGAGCUAAACUGCCCCUGCUCCUUGACAUCUCCUGACCGACGCUGCUGACGUCUGGAUAACGUAACACGUCAAUGAGCGAGAUUGCGUCUCUGCUCUCCUCCAGCGUACUGAGGUGGAUGUUUCCCAAAUGCAAGAAAUGCCCACGAGUGUUUUCUGUAACACCCUGCAGGUGCUAUAAGCACUUUCUCUGGGUCAGUGGCUUUGAACAACAAAGAAGUGACUCUGAUACAAUACAGGGAUUAUCGCCAGUUACCGAACAGAUUGUGGC
RNAcentral lists this long non-coding RNA (477 nucleotides) under Betta splendens (Siamese fighting fish). RNAcentral describes it as "lncRNA (ENSBSLG00000015239.1)". The record is from RNAcentral. Lineage: Eukaryota; Metazoa; Chordata; Actinopteri; Anabantiformes; Osphronemidae.